UAGGGAGACCUACCCACUCAGAUAUCGAAAACAAUCAGCGAUUAGAUAUUGAGUUGGUCAUCCUAAGGUCGGUCCAAAUAGUUAUUGAUGGCUUUCAACUAUAUUGGUUGUUUGCUGUAGAUCACACUAUCGUUGAAUGGAAAACCGAAAAUAAACUCAGCAACUAGGCUUAUGUGCCAGACUGCUGGGAGAGAAAACCAGCCAGAACCUUGAAAACUGCAUAGUGACGCGAAAAAAAUUGCAGGCAGACAUAGACAUAAGUUAUGUUCGUGGAUGCUUUAAAGUGAAACACCAAAAUGUUUGAGU
RNAcentral lists this unclassified non-coding RNA (306 nucleotides) under Cylindrospermum sp. 6D6. Its description in RNAcentral is "partial 16S-23S ribosomal RNA intergenic spacer". The record is from RNAcentral. Lineage: Bacteria; Bacillati; Cyanobacteriota; Cyanophyceae; Nostocales; Nostocaceae.